Molecule: long non-coding RNA, 3081 nt
Organism: Hordeum vulgare subsp. vulgare (domesticated barley)
Lineage: Eukaryota; Viridiplantae; Streptophyta; Magnoliopsida; Poales; Poaceae
Exons: 3
Source: RefSeq, a predicted model, not a curated record
CCGUGCGUCGUCAUCGUCCUGGUGGGAGUUGCAGGAUCGCUCACUCGGAAACAAAGGAGAGUUCACACGGGUUUGGUUUUGUUCAUUCACAGCGAUGUUCCCAUUGUUCUAUCUACCUCCACGGACGUUCCAAAACCUGCCAUCUUUCGGCUAAACAAUCUUCUGCUCUCAAACCCCUCCUUUAUUCAUCAAAUCGUUCAAACUGGACUAGUGUGGGGCAGCGACACAUGGCGUUGGGGUCUGCUGGCCGCAUCUGCCUAAAACUUGGGUUGUUAACUCUAAAUCUCCUCGACGGCUUGCCUCCAACUGCUCUAUUGUUAUUUUUGUCCUUGACAAAAUUGAAGAAGGCCGCACUCUGUCCACCCUUGAGCUUAACCGACGCAUUGCGGUGAAGGUUGCCUGGCAUCGUCAUAACAAGCUGCUGGCUGCUCACUGGCACCAACGAGCAAAAAACAGAGAAUGCACUCUCAGGGACGAAAAUUCAAGUUACAUGCAUGUGUGCGCUUCUGUUCGUUUUCGCAAAAAUCAAAUCCCUUGUCUGAAUGUUGACGGAUCGGAAGUGAAUUCCCAUAGAGGUAAGGCCGUUGUUCUUCAUGACUAUUUCAAAGCUCUCCUAGGUACACAAUCUACCGUAGACAUCAAUUUUGACCUUCGGAAUCUCUUGAACGGAUCUCGGCUGAACCCUUCUCAAGCCCUCUCGCUCAUUAGGCCCUUCUCAUGGAAGAGAUUAAAUUUGCUAUUCUUAGCAUGAACGUUAACGCUAGCCUGGGCCAGAUGGGUUUGGCCUAGCCUUCUUCAAGGUUAAUUUGGAUCUUGUUAAGAAUGGUCUGUUAGACCUCAUGCAUGACUUUCACAACAGUUGCGCCGACCUCAAAAGGAUUAACAAAGCCUUUAUUGUUCUUCUUCCAAAAAAAAUUGGUGCGACAUCUCCUGAUAAUUUUCGUCCAUUUUCACUCCAAAAUUGUCUUAUUAAGAUUGCCUCUAAAUGUCUAGCCUUCAGAUCCCAACCCCUAAUCCCCUUAAUUUCAUCAUGACCAAUCUGGUUUUAUCAAAGGUCGAUGUACUGCUGAAAAUUUUACUUACGCCGCUGAUAUUGUUCAAACUUGUUUCAAGUGUAAGAAAUCAGCAAUUGUCCUCAAGUUAGACUUCCAAAAAGCAUUUGAUUCAGUGUCCUAGACGGCUCUGGCGGCUAUUUUAAAAGCCAAAGGCUUCCCUUCGAGAUGGUGUGAUUGGAUUCAAAAUCUAAAUCAGACCAGUCAGUCUGAUGUGCUUCUCAAUGGUAAGCCUGGACCAUGGAUUAGGAGACUCGACCUCCCCUUAUCUUUUCAUUAUUGUCGCUGACGUCCUACAGCGCCUCAUCCGGCAGGCAUCCUCGAAUGGCCUUCUAUCUCACCCCAUUGACUCGACCAUCCACUGCCCUGUUCUUCAAUACGCUGACGACACUCUUAUCAUUUUGCCUGCGGACCUUCGACAGCUUCAAACGCUAAAUCUAUUCUCCUUGAGUUCUCAAAUGCCAUUGGAUUGGUGAUUAAUUUCCAUAAGAGCACUUUCGCUCCUAUUCAUGUGGAUCGGGACCUUGCCUCUGACUUAGCUUCUUUCUUUGGGUGUUCGGUAGCUUCCUUCCCCCAAUCCUAUCUUGGUCUACCCCUUUCCACUCACAAGCUAAACAUUAAGGACUUCUUUUUCAUCAUCGACAAGAUUGACCGGCGCUUGGCGGGCUGGCGAGGCGUGCUUCUAACCAUCGCCGACCGCGCAAUCCUGGUCCGGGCUGUUCUUAGAGCCUUGCCUAUCAAUCUUGUCUGGAAACCCAUUGACCACUUUGCCCCGGCCAUCUGGAAGAAUUAUGCAUCCAAUAAAUGCAGAAUCUUCCUUUGGCUGGCAUGCAAAAAUCGCCUCUUCACCAACGAAAGACGCUUCAACAGGGGCCUAUUGGACUCCAACAGCUGCCUGUUUUGCACUGUUCCUGAACCAACGGGUCACCUUUUCCUCCACUGCAGCCAUCUUCGCCCCCUUUGGUUGGAGCUGACCUCUCUGUCUGCUUCCCCUCCAACAGACCUCCGGCAUCUCCGAGGACCGCACCUGGCCAACAAAGUCUGGCUCCACGGUCAUCAUUGCUGUCCUCCGGAAUAUUUGGAAAAGAAGAAACGCAAAGGUCUUCAGGGUGAUCUGCAACCUAUCCACCUCAUCGCCCGCUCGGCGGCGGAUGGCAUCAUGCUUUGGUCUAACAUGUGCUCCAGUGAGCAGGCAAUGACCAUCCUUUGGGAUUGGUGUAUCAUGUUGUUUCAUUUAUCUGAGAGAUUGUAACCCAAAUACAUUGUACACUCACCCCCCCCCCCUCCGCCUCCUUUCCUGUGUAAAUGUGCUUGAUUUAUUAAUGGUUUGGUUCAGGCCGGCGUAAGCCCGCUGUAGCACCGUCAAAAAAAUGAUUGAUGCUGCUGCGAUAGGCCUGAAGAGUGGAAGGUAACAUCGGGUGAUGAAAGCAAAGAAUUCAUGACCUCCGUGUGGCAGAGAGAGAAGCAAGAUAAGGCGGAAGAGGAGCUGUUCAUCCGAGCUCCCGUAACCAAACAUGAAAAAUACAUGGAGAAGCAGAUGAAGAAGCAGCUUCAUGGGUUACAAGUCCUAACUGAAGGAUUCGGCCUCGGGAUGAACAUGCUGCUCGAUGAAGAAAUGGAAGACGACAGUGGUUCUAGCGAGCCGCGUAGACAGAGCGUGGGGCGGAGAAAACACCAAAAAGGCGGCAAGAGGAAGCGACACUAGUUCGGACCUGACAAUAGUCCUGUGAAAUUUUGCCAUGUUCUCAGUCAAAAGCAUGAAUUUCGAUACCACUAGAAACUGAACCAGUUGUGCACCAUAGGAGUAGAGAUGAACUUUGCUUAGAAGCAGCAGCAGUUUUGUGCAUCCGCUUACACUGACGGCUACUUGUGUCCUUGAGACGAUUGCCACAUGUUUAUCCUCAGUUGUUUGUCUGUGUUUUCUGGUUCCGACGCCUUCGAAUCUGUGAUGUGUAUGAAAAGAUGUUCUGUUGAGUAUGAGAGUAUGACCAGAGAACUGCAAAAAAUGCACGCUGGUUGUUGAUCCCAA